CCCUUAGAUGUCCUGGGCCGCACGCGCGCUACACUGAUGCAUUCAACGAGUUCUACCUUGGCCGAGAGGCCUGGGCAAUCUUUUGAACCUGCAUCGUGACGGGGAUAGAUUAUUGCAAUUAUUAAUCUUCAACGAGGAAUGCCUAGUAGGCGCAAGUCAUCAGCUUGCGUCGAUUACGUCCCUGCCCUUUGUACACACCGCCCGUCGCUCCUACCGAUUGGGUGUGCUGGUGAAAUGUUCGGAUCGGCCGUUUGUCGCGGUUUCCGCGGCUCGUGGCUGAGAAGUUCAUUAAACCCUCCCACCUAGAGGAAGGAGAAGUCGUAACA
Molecule: ribosomal RNA, 326 nt
Filed under: uncultured eukaryote
Lineage: Eukaryota
Description: partial 18S ribosomal RNA
Rfam family: Eukaryotic small subunit ribosomal RNA
Source: RNAcentral